RNAcentral lists this ribosomal RNA (253 nucleotides) under uncultured bacterium. RNAcentral describes it as "partial 16S ribosomal RNA". It matches the Rfam family "Bacterial small subunit ribosomal RNA", at positions 524 to 776 of the family's 1533-position model. The record is from RNAcentral.
UACGAAGGGUGCAAACGUUGCUCGGAAUCAUUGGGCGUAAAGCGCACGUAGGCGGCCUCAUAAAUCGGAUGUGAAAUCCCUCGGCUCAACCGAGGAAGUGCAUCCGAAACUGCGAGGCUCGAGUAUGGAAGAGGGUCGCAGAAUUCCCGGUGUAGAGGUGAAAUUCGUAGAUAUCGGGAGGAAUACCAGUGGCGAAGGCGGCGACCUGGGCCAAUACUGACGCUGAGGUGCGAAAGCGUGGGGAGCAAACAGG